RNAcentral lists this ribosomal RNA (427 nucleotides) under uncultured bacterium. RNAcentral's name for it is "partial 16S ribosomal RNA". It matches the Rfam family "Bacterial small subunit ribosomal RNA", at positions 355 to 774 of the family's 1533-position model. The record is from RNAcentral.
UGGGGAAUAUUGCACAAUGGGCGCAAGCCUGAUGCAGCCAUGCCGCGUGUAUGAAGAAGGCCUUCGGGUUGUAAAGUACUUUCAGCGGGGAGGAAGGUGUUGUGGUUAAUAACCUCAGCAAUUGACGUUACCCGCAGAAGAAGCACCGGCUAACUCCGUGCCAGCAGCCGCGGUAAUACGGAGGGUGCAAGCGUUAAUCGGAAUUACUGGGCGUAAAGCGCACGCAGGCGGUCUGUCAAGUCGGAUGUGAAAUCCCCGGGCUCAACCUGGGAACUGCAUCCGAAACUGGCAGGCUUGAGUCUUGUAGAGGGGGGUGGAAUUCCAGGUGUAGCGGUGAAAUGCGUAGAGAUCUGGAGGAAUACCGGUGGCGAAGGCGGCCCCCUGGACAAAGACUGACGCUCAGGUGCGAAAGCGUGGGGAGCAAACA